UACGGGGGGGGCAAGCGUUGUUCGGAAUUACUGGGCGUAAAGGGCUCGUAGGUGGCCAACUAAGUCAGACGUGAAAUCCCUCGGCUUAACCGGGGAACUGCGUCUGAUACUGGAUGGCUUGAGAUUGGGAGAGGGAUGCGGAAUUCCAGGUGUAGCGGUGAAAUGCGUAGAUAUCUGGAGGAACACCGGUGGCGAAGGCGACAUCCUGGACCAAUACUGACGCUGAGGAGCGAAAGCCAGGGGAGCAAACGGG
RNAcentral lists this ribosomal RNA (253 nucleotides) under uncultured bacterium. Its description in RNAcentral is "partial 16S ribosomal RNA". It matches the Rfam family "Bacterial small subunit ribosomal RNA", at positions 524 to 776 of the family's 1533-position model. The record is from RNAcentral.